CGUAUCUGAAAAUAGCCAUCUAAAUCUGUGCUUUUAACUCUUGCUCUAUAAACAGAGAGAAGGUUGUUGGGUAGUGCUGGGUGUGCUCAGAGAGCCCGGACGCUCUGAACUGCAGCCAAUUCAAGAGCUCGAUGGGUGGCAGGACAUGAGUCUUGGCAGGUGCUGGUUUCAGCAGUGUUGUAGCACAGUAUGUGAGCAUCUCUGGGUCACUGCAUUCAGCGCUGGAGAAGAACUGGAAUGAGGGAUUAUGAAGAACUGUUAGUGCUCAUCCAUCCAUUCCCUCCCUCAGGACAUGCACAUUAGAAAGACCUAAGAAAAUCAAACAGCCCCAGGCUCUGGCUCUCAUAAGCCUGAAUCCCAGAGGUCUUUAAAGAAGGAAGAUGUAUGGAUGAAGAAGACAGUGAGAUGGGGAAGUCAAUACUGAGAAUUCAAUGGAAAGUUUACACUAUUUAGUCUGGAGAGAAGCGAUACCUGCAGUUUACAGCUCAUUCUGGGAUUGAAGGGUCACACAUUGUGCAAGAUUGGGCAAAAUACAGACUUCAAAUUCAAACUGUCAAAAAUGCGAAUUCAAACAGUUACAUAAUAGAAGAAUUGAAUUAGUCAAAC
Cyprinus carpio carpio is the source of this 606-nucleotide long non-coding RNA. Lineage: Eukaryota; Metazoa; Chordata; Actinopteri; Cypriniformes; Cyprinidae. The record is from Ensembl.